Biomphalaria glabrata is the source of this 987-nucleotide long non-coding RNA. RefSeq lists it as uncharacterized. The record is from RefSeq and is a predicted model, not a curated record. The transcript has 4 exons. Lineage: Eukaryota; Metazoa; Mollusca; Gastropoda; Planorbidae.
UUACUGUUACUAAAAUAGCUCUGUUGGUAAAUAAAAUUUUAAUUGAACAUGGACACUAUGUCAAAUAAACAUUAAGUGGGUAAAACAUGCAAUUUUAUUUCAUUCCUUUUUCUAAAUAUAGUUCUACUAUAAAUGUUCACAUUAUUUUCUUAGUCAUUUACAAGAGAAAGUUUUAGUUUGAAUCAAAUCAAUAUCAUGUUAAUUCUUUACAAAAUACUAACACAUAUUGCAAUAACUAGUUCAGAUUUGUUAAAAAACAAAAACUAAAUUUUUCUUUAAGUUUAUUUCUAUUUCAAUUUGAAAGUAUUCUUACAAAAAGGUAGCCAUGCAAAAUGAUGUUCUCUUUUGGACUGAAAUGGAUUGUCUCAUUUUGUUGUUUAGUUACUGCAAUGCAAAUUGGAGUUUGAACAAAUUAAAGUAAAAGCAUAAUAAAUAGAAUGUAUGUAUAGUAUUACAUAAUUUUAAUGAAUUUUCUCAAUACUGGCUUUUAUCUUUCAGACUAAGUUUUUUUAAGAGUAGAACAAUCUUCCUUGUCAAACUGUUUUAAACCAAUCUUUUGAAGUAGCCUAAGUAAAUUGAAUAAUUUUUUCAUAAUAUUUUUAAAAUCAAGGCAAAGGAAGAAUCACAUUCAAUAUCUUUUUAACAGGAUUUGUUUCACUUUUCACUGCCCAGGUAAUCAUGCAUCACAUGCCCUCUGAUAUGUACAAAAAAUGAAGUUUGAGAAGAAAGAGAAAGGAUCAAGAUGAUUUACAAGACACUAAAGAAGUUAUCUAUCAACUAUACUCAAUGUAUGGACGACUUGCAGCCAGACCAGAAUUAUAGAGAAAGAUGUUUUUCUGCUGGCUAAACAUGUAUGGAUAAUGAUGCAGAGAAUUUCCUGGUGAUCAAGAAUUAGGAGCUGCACACAGUUUAAUGAAACCAUAUUUUAGGAACAGAUAGAAAACAAAGAACUGCAGCAAAGAUGGCCUGUUUUUAUUCUUCCUCAUG